RNAcentral lists this non-coding RNA (45 nucleotides) under Schistosoma margrebowiei. The record is from RNAcentral. Lineage: Eukaryota; Metazoa; Platyhelminthes; Trematoda; Strigeidida; Schistosomatidae.
AUCCGAAUGACGAGUCCUAAGUAGGACGAAACGCGCAUCCUAGAU